RNAcentral lists this transfer RNA (134 nucleotides) under Cordyceps militaris CM01. RNAcentral describes it as "tRNA-Und (NNN) (tRNA-Und-NNN-1-1)". The record is from RNAcentral. Lineage: Eukaryota; Fungi; Ascomycota; Sordariomycetes; Hypocreales; Cordycipitaceae.
UCCCCUGUGGCUCAGAUGGCUAGAGCGUUGUAAGUAUCCGUAGAUGCAUCUCAGAUGGGUUCCACCUCGACAUACUAAUUCAUCAUCAGGGACUGUUAAUCCAAAGGUCGGAAGUUCGAGCCUUCCCGGGGGAG